GCCAGUGUGGUGUAGUGGUUUGAGCAUUGGACUAUGACUCUGGAGACCAGGGUUCGAAUCCUUGCUCAGCCA
This is a non-coding RNA of Phrynosoma platyrhinos (Desert horned lizard), 72 nucleotides long. The record is from the annotation of a GenBank genome assembly. NCBI's taxonomy places the organism in Eukaryota, Metazoa, Chordata, Lepidosauria, Squamata, Phrynosomatidae.